This 66-nucleotide transfer RNA is filed under the name Opisthoteuthis sp. JN-2021. RNAcentral's name for it is "tRNA-Asn". The record is from RNAcentral. Lineage: Eukaryota; Metazoa; Mollusca; Cephalopoda; Octopoda; Opisthoteuthidae.
CAGUAAAAAGCCAAAAUAGAGGCAUUUAACUGUUAAUUAAAUAAUUGUAUUAACAUACUUUACUGG